This 3454-nucleotide long non-coding RNA is filed under the name Hordeum vulgare. RNAcentral describes it as "long non-coding RNA (HVUL_LNC017187)". The record is from RNAcentral. Lineage: Eukaryota; Viridiplantae; Streptophyta; Magnoliopsida; Poales; Poaceae.
UCCAGAUUGUUUUUUAUUCCGAGUUCGAAAAAUCUUGAACAAAAAUAGAGGGAAAGCUAGAGACUGCAUUCGAUGUUCGAAAAGUAACUGAGAGUUCUGUUGUACUGUAAAGAUAAAGUUGGAUGAUGGAGAUCAAGAUCAUCAAAACGCCCGUAGGAAGCGUUAAAACAUUAUUGGAACACAAAUUGCAACUGGAAAUAACAGCUAGUGACUAAAACUCUUGAUGUUUCUGAAGCCACUUUCUCCGGAACUCAUUCAUGUCUUGUCUUUUUUUGUAUCAUCAGCGGAGCGCUCCCAGGAAAUUCAGAAAUUCAGAAUGAGGCACAGCCAGCACUGCAUGGAAAUAUGAAGAGAAACUCCAUGUCAUUCUAAUCUUGGAGCAAACAGGAUAAAGAAAAAAUUUAUACAAAGCAAGCAGUACAUGGUAAGUAACUUACUCAUAUCUUGCAUGCAUGCAUAGCAUACAACCUUUAUUCAGUUGACCGACUCAGCAACCCAUCACGGCGCACAGAAUCUGUAUUCCCAUCAAUCGCCGUGUGGCAAACAAAUCCCAGACAGGCGGUUCCCCAUCCGGGGUCCAUGAAUGAAGCUCAACCACCUUUUCAUCAAUUGAAUCGUUUGGACGCCCAAUAACAAUCAGGCGGUCACCACACGCUCGGAAACCCAGGUCCCAGCCAUCUUUGUCCUUCGACUGUACAGGCAAUUUCCCAAGAGUGAUCCACUUGUUGUCCAGCUUAUCAUACCGCUUCAAAUCAUUAUUCUCACUGUAAUCAGCAGUAUAAAGCUCAUUGUUGACAACUGCAAGGAGUGGAGGAUCUCCAUCGUUUGUCUCGUUGAGCCCCUGAGACAUGUUGUCGAUGACCCUCCAUGACCGCAGGUUCAAGUCAUACUCCUCACCGCAAGUCAAUACCUCGUGGCUACUGCUAAGACCACCGAUGACAUAGAACUUGCCGUCCAUGAAGGCGCCAGAGCAUCCGUACCUGGCCCUAUUCAUGCUGGGAAGGGGUGUCCAAGUAUGUGUCUCCGAGUCAUACAUCUCUGCCGUGCUCAAUACAUUAGCACUAGAAGGAUCAACGCCUCCCGUGACGUACGCCUUCUCACCGACACUGGCUGACCCAAACAAGGUCCGCGGGGUGUUCAUCGCAUCAGCAUCAGCAUCAGGCAGCCCUGUCCAUGAAUUGGUAAGGAUGCUAUAUCUCAAGGAAACCCCUUCGGACCCAAACAGCAGCAGCUCGGUUCCUACAGCGAGCGACUCCCAGAAUCUGCUUUGAGCCGGUGGCAUCUUGGGCACGUGGAUCCAGCGCCCAGUGGACGGGUCAUAAGCGUCCCAAUCCAGAAAAUCGUUACCGCAAGAGAGGUAGAGCCAGUGCUCCGCCACCCCAUUCUUGCGACGCAGGCGGUAGAUGUCCCCGUCGCGAACCACCGAAUUGAAUUCACGGUUGAGGGAGGCGAUGGAGGCGCCGUAGUCCCGCCUGGGCACAAGGUGGAGGCAACGGAUGAAGAGCUCCCGACCUAUCACAUCAAUGGUAUUGCUCCACGACACCACAGCUUGCUGCUCCUCUACACCUGACAAAAAGCCAACACUUGAUUCAUCGUCUUACUAAUUUCUCCUACGUGUAAUUUAUAACCUCAUGAAGAUGCAUGUUAGGGAAUAAGCCAAGGGCGUGUGUGUGUGUCGGCACGUGUGAGUACGCAUGCGUGUGUGCGUUAGCGCCAUGUGACCUGACUCGACCUGGUCGUGCUUGUGGGGAAACUACGUACGGGCCGACUCGGCCAGCGCCCUCCCUUUGAGGUUUAUGUUAAUGUUAAGGUACGUAUAUAUAUGUCGACUCCUGUUAAUGUUAAGUGGACAUUUAUCUCCCUUUCCCUUAGGCUAGCUAUAAAGAGGAAAGCAACUCAUUAUACGAUGACUUGAUCAAUUAUUAAUUAAAAAAAAGACUUUCCUCUAUAGUAUCUAUAUGUCAAUCUAUUUUAUGUAUCUAUGUGUGAUCGACUACGUCGCUAGCUCCGCUCCGUAACCUUGGACCAAACUCGCCGAUCGACAGGAGUUCUAUACCACGUUAUCAGCACGAUGAGCUCCACCAAGCCCGCGCCAAGCCUUCAUCGAGCAGUUUUUGUCGUUCGCGCGGACGUAUGGAUCCGACAUCUUUUUGCAAACAUGGAUUCCUUUCGUUAUCAUGAUUCCGUUUUUGCGCUUAGUUUAUUUUUUAAAUUUAAUUUAUCCACAAUGUGGAUUUAUCUCCCAAGAACUAGCUGACAAGCCCCAGGCCCAUAUAAUAUUCCUGUCGAAUUUUAUAAGCAUUGUUAGGAAUUUGUUAAAUAUGAUCUGAUGAGAUUGUUUGGUGCUUUCCAUAACAAUUCUUUACAUGUGGCUCGUUUAAACUACGGGGUUAUCACUUUGCUUCCUAAAUUAAAUGGAGCCAAAAAAAUUCAACAAUACAGACCCAUUUGUUUGUUGGGUUGUCCUUAUAAGUUGAUAACGAAGGUUUUGAAUGACAGGGUGGCAUUGUACUCUGAUGUUCUAAUUAGUAGGCAUCAAAAUGCUUUCAUUAAACAUAGAAAAUAUAAUGGAUGGCAUCCUGACUUUGCAUGAAGUUUUGCACCACACUCAGCGUCGUCAAAAUGUGGGAUAGUGCUGAAACUGGACUUUGAAAAACCUUAUGAUAAGAUCAACUGGGAUUUCCUCGUGGAGUGCCAUAGAAACAGAGGUUUUGGAGAAACCUGGUGUGGCUGGAUAAAAAAGAUCUUAUAUGAUGGCACGGUGUGCAUUAAGUUGAAUAAUGAAAAAGAUCCUUAUUUCCAAAGUCAUAAGGGGGUUAGACAGGGUGAUCCUUUCUCUCCUUUCUUGUUCAAUAUUGUUGUUGAGGCCUUGUCUAAGAUGGUGAGAAAUGCCCAGAGGGAGAAAUUGUUCACCGGUCUUGCCCCUGAUCUUAUUGAUGAUGGUGUUUCUAUCCUUCAGUAUGCGGAUGACACGGUAAUAUGCUUUAAACAUGAUGUAGCUGCGACUGUUAAUUUGAAACUCUUGUUAUACUUGUUUGAACUGAUGUCGGGGUUAAAGAUCAAUUUUGAGAAGAGUGAGAUUUUUUUGUGUGGGAGGUGAUGAUAAUAUCCUGAAUACUUAUGCUGACAUGUUUAAUUGUCAGAUUGGGCACCUUCCUAUGAAGUAUUUGGGGGUUCCAAUAAGCUUUACUGGACUCAGGUGUGUAGAUUGGUUGUUUCUGGAUGAAAAAUUUCUUAAAUGUUGUGAAACUUGGAUAGGUAAUGCUGCAUCUUCGGGAGGUAGGCUGAUUCUGAUGAACUCAUCGCUUACUAGUAUAGUAUAUUACUAUAUGACGAUGUUCUUGCUUCCUAAGAUGGUCAUAUACAAACUUGAUAAACACACGAAGAAAUUCUUUUGGAGAGAAUUCGAGGGUAAUAAGAGAUAUCACCUGGUUAAGUGGGAUCGUAUUUGUAG